GUCAGGCCUCAAGAUGGAGCGGGAGAAUUUGAGAAUGAUCUUGGGUUUAUUUUUGCUUCCCUUCGGGCCGUGCUGAUGUCUAGAAACUACUGAUACCUGGCUAGAAACACUUUCACUGUCAGCAGAGUUGUGUCCAUUUCCUGUGGAUUGUUUCUUUCCUCUGCUGGUGGUGUUUUUCUUCUUCGUUGGUUUUCUACCUGGUUUGUUGUUCUUCUUCGGGUUGUUCUGGUUAAGUCUGGGAGUGCAGAGAGACAGUUGAACCUUUGUUAGUCUGUGGAGUCUCAAGAUGGGUAAAGAAACAGCAGCGGACAUCUUGAGUUGAUUCAGGUUGACGCUAUGCAGAGAAUCUCCUUCCUCCAUCUUGAGUUGAUUCAGGUUAACGCUAUGCAGAGAAUCUCCUUCCUCCAUCUUGAGUUGAUUCAGGUUAACGCUAUGCAGAGAAUCUCCUUCCUCCAUCUUGAGUUGAUUCAGGUUAACACUAUGCAGAGAAUCUCCUUCCUCCAUCUUGAGUUGAUUCAGGUUAACACUAUGCAGAGAAUCUCCUUCCUCCAUCUUGAGUUGAUU
Long non-coding RNA from Oncorhynchus tshawytscha (Chinook salmon), 564 nucleotides. The record is from Ensembl. NCBI's taxonomy places the organism in Eukaryota, Metazoa, Chordata, Actinopteri, Salmoniformes, Salmonidae.